GCUCGAGUGGCGAACGGGUGAGUAACACGUGAGUAACCUGCCCUUGACUUGGGAUAACUUCAGGAAACUGGGGCUAAUACCGGAUAGGAGCUCCUGCUGCAUGGUGGGGGUUGGAAAGUUUCGGCGGUUGGGGAUGGACUCGCGGCUUAUCAGCUUGUUGGUGGGGUAGUGGCUUACCAAGGCUUUGACGGGUAGCCGGCCUGAGAGGGUGACCGGCCACAUUGGGACUGAGAUACGGCCCAG
RNAcentral lists this ribosomal RNA (243 nucleotides) under uncultured Actinomycetales bacterium. Its description in RNAcentral is "partial 16S ribosomal RNA". It matches the Rfam family "Bacterial small subunit ribosomal RNA", at positions 89 to 334 of the family's 1533-position model. Lineage: Bacteria; Bacillati; Actinomycetota; Actinomycetes; Actinomycetales. The record is from RNAcentral.